This 26-nucleotide transfer RNA is filed under the name Pipistrellus kuhlii (Kuhl's pipistrelle). RNAcentral's name for it is "partial tRNA-Thr". The record is from RNAcentral. RNAcentral also lists the same sequence under 1 other name. Lineage: Eukaryota; Metazoa; Chordata; Mammalia; Chiroptera; Vespertilionidae.
GUCUGUGUAGUAUACUAAUUAUACUG